Long non-coding RNA from Salvia miltiorrhiza (redroot sage), 585 nucleotides. RefSeq lists it as uncharacterized. NCBI's taxonomy places the organism in Eukaryota, Viridiplantae, Streptophyta, Magnoliopsida, Lamiales, Lamiaceae. The record is from RefSeq and is a predicted model, not a curated record. The transcript has 3 exons.
GCGAUUAAAUAGUAGAUGCACUGAGUAACCAAGACCUAAAGAUUUAUUAUUAUUUACAAUUAGAACUUCCACCACCACUAUCAAUCAAUGCAGUAAUUGAUUUUUUUUCUAAGUACAGGAAGAAAUCCUUGCAUAUAAGCUCACUAUCUAAUUUGCUGGCUUUAAGAGGAAGAUUAUGAUUAAGAUAGUGUCUUCCACUAUCUAAUUAUAUUAUCAACUCCUUUUCUUUAACUUUGCUAAAGCCAUGCUUUCCACCUCUUCAACCACCACCCUUUGCUCCCCACCAAUACACCUAACUCUCCAUACACUUCAUUUUUUUUAUUUCUCCACCACUACAUUACAUAUUCAGCACUACAUCUUGCAGAUUCCUCAUUAAGAAAUCCUCUCUCUCUAAUCUUCUAAAUUACCAUUUUCUUUCCUCCUACUCCUCACGGGUCCUUCAAAGAAAUUAUCAAGUUUGUUUCAAGUUCCAAAUCAAGAAGAAUCGAACUAUUGCCAACACCACCCCUCAUAUCAAGGUCCGGGCGACAGAAAGUGAAGCAGAAGAAGAAACGACUCCACGCCAACUUUAAGAACAAUUGAUGU